Molecule: small RNA, 3315 nt
Filed under: Pongo abelii (Sumatran orangutan)
Lineage: Eukaryota; Metazoa; Chordata; Mammalia; Primates; Hominidae
Description: retained intron
Source: RNAcentral
AGCGGAGCCAAGAUGGCGGCCGAGUUGGAGUACGAGUCUGUGCUGUGUGUGAAGCCGGACGUCAGCGUCUACCGGAUUCCGCCCCGGGCCUCCAACCGCGGUUACAGGGCAUCUGACUGGAAAUUAGACCAGCCUGAUUGGACUGGUCGCCUCCGAAUCACUUCAAAAGGGAAGACUGCCUAUAUCAAACUCGAGGAUAAAGUUUCAGGGGAGCUCUUUGCUCAGGCACCAGUAGAACAAUAUCCUGGUAUUGCUGUGGAGACAGUGACAGAUUCCAGCCGCUACUUUGUAAUCCGGAUCCAGGAUGGUACUGGGCGCAGUGCUUUCAUUGGCAUUGGCUUCACAGAUCGGGGAGAUGCCUUCGACUUUAAUGUCUCCUUGCAGGAUCACUUCAAGUGAGUGAAGCUUGUCCUUAGUUACGAGGUCGAAUGCUUGUAGGAAUGCUGCUUCUCACGUGAAUGGGCAGUAUCUCUUUUCCUCCUGGUUUCUUUAUUUCUUCAACUAUUUCAUUGUGAAUAUAAAUCUCCUCAUUCACUUUUGUUUCCUUGGGUCAUCUUUGUAUCUAUUCUGUUUCCUUUCCUUAUAGCCUGCAAUAUGUUUUAGAUCCCUUGUGCAGUAGUUUGAAAUGAUGCUCUGUCGAAUGUUGCCCCGUCUUUUAGGUGGUAGAGGGAGGCCUAUGGUAACAGCAGGGCUUUAUGUGGGGAGUUGUGUGCCACUCUUGUUACCUUAUGUAGCUGACAUGUUUUGUGACUUUUGCAACAUUUCUUUAGUCCACUUGAUUUUGGUGCAGCUGUGGUGACAGCACUAUGCACACUGUGAGCUUCCUACCUCAAGAGCAAGCAUAUCUCUCCUUUCCUGCCUCAGGACUCUCUGAAGUUAUAGAAGGCUAAGAGCAAGCUUUAACUUGGAGAGACUAAGAAACUAACACCCCCUCAGGAGCAGCCCUCAACUGUGGGGAAUGGGAAUUGGUGGCUAAAUGCCAUCCUUUUGGAAGAGGCAAUUCUAAUACGUAUUCCUUGAGAUUUCUCAGAGAGUCCCCAGUGGAAUUGAACCCCAGUAGUUUUCUUUCUUGGCUUUUUUCCCUUUUGUUUCUCACUCUUUUUUAUCUCUCACUGUGUUUUCUGGAAUCUCAUUUCAUAAAAGUAAAUACACCCAAAUUUGUAUGUCAGACUCUGCUUUCAGGAAAUCUCAAACUAAGAUAACUUGCUGUGUUCCCAAAGGUGGGUAAAGCAGGAAUCUGAGAUUUCCAAGGAAUCUCAAGAAAUGGAUGCUCGUCCUAAGUUGGAUCUGGGCUUCAAGGAAGGACAAACCAUCAAGUUGAGUAUCGGGAACAUUACAAACAAGAAAGGAGGUGCUUCCAAGCCCAGGACUGCAAGGGGUGGGGGCCUGAGCUUACUCCCACCCCCGCCAGGAGGCAAAGUCACUAUUCCCCCACCAUCCUCCUCAGUUGCCAUCAGCAAUCAUGUCACCCCACCACCCAUUCCGAAAUCUAACCAUGGAGGCAGUGAUGCAGAUAUCCUUUUAGAUUUGGAUUCUCCUGCUCCUGUCACGACACCAGCACCAACUCCAGUUUCUGCAAGCAAUGACUUGUGGGGAGACUUCAGCACUGCAUCCAGCUCUGUUCCAAACCAGGCACCACAGCCAUCCAACUGGGUCCAGUUCUGAAUGGCAUUGGCAGGACAUUAAGGACAGACUUGAGGAAUAAAAAUGACCUUGAGGGCACCAAUCUGUGAGGGAAGUUAGGAACCCAUUUCCUCCCCAGAAUCAAAAUGACUGGACAAUCUUUUUCGUAGCUUCUCCAUCACAUUCAAGCUGGUUUAUGUCACUCCCCUGUGUUGUUACUUGUACAGCCAAGAAAGUAUCUGUUAAUCUCCUGCUUAGUACCAAGGUAGGGGACUAGUGAAUCUUAUCAUAGUUUUGGCUGACUAUGCAGGGCUCAAAAGGCCAGCGUCUGUUUGAGGGGGAAUGACCUCUGACAUCUGUAAAAUUUGUCUCAUCUUUUAAAUUCUUUAACUUAUUUCAAAAUCAUCUCAUGACCCUCGUGUGCCUCUUUGUGAAGCCCUAUUUAGCAAUUUCAGGGGAGUCAAAAACCUUGCAACUUCCUUCUCCACUAACCCAGGACUAAAAAUGGACAGGCUGACCUUAGUGUUUACAAAUUCAGAAUUUUGAUAGGGGUAGAUAUGGAGAAAGACCUAUUUCCUGGGUCUCUGCUGUGUAGUCUCCUUCAGGCUUAUUGUACACAGUGAACAUCCAGUGCUGGGUGCAGCUCCAUCACCCUCUUGUGUGUUUACAUGUCUCUUUCUAUGAUAAGAGGGUUGUGUUGGUGGCACCUCCACUACUCUUUUCUGUUUGUUGAAUUUGAAUUGUGUAACAUCUUUGACCAGUGGGUGUUUCUGUAAUGAAGGAGGUUCAAGAGGCUGUGCUUUCCAAGUGAUAGUCUAUAGGAAUGUUUGAUUUCUUGCAGCUCCAUCUGGUUGCUGCAUUUGAAGCAUGGCAUUAAUUUGUAUUUGCCCUGUUGUUUGACCUUAAGUUGAAGGGUUUAGAGUUUUUAACCUGAUCUGUAGAGCAGAGAGGUUGAAAGCACUUAACUCUUGUUUAGUAUCCUCAUUGCCUUGCUGCCUGGGUAUCUGGCCCCUUUUCAUAAACAUUUCUUUUCAGUUCAUGUAGUUCUUUAAUAGAAAGCUGCUAUUAUGUAUAUUGUCAUUUGUGAAGGAAGUUGGAGAGUCACAGAUUUACUGUGACAGGUUUUGCCCAAGUCUGUGAUACCUGUCACCCAGGGUAUCUUAAAAGCAAGUUGUUCUCCCACUACUUUCCUUUCCCUCUGCCCUGCCAUUCCUUUUACAAUGCUGUGAAAAAAGUUCUGCUUCUUAGGUGAAUGGGUACUUUCUAUUUUGUUUCUAAAUGAGCAAUUUUGAGGAUGAAAUGGGAAGAUAUCAUUUCUUCCUUUUUGCACCUAUUAGGUAUGUACACUCUCUGGCUGAAGGGAGUCCUUAUGUUUAGUUUCAAAAUAUAUUACUUUCCUGGAUUCCCUUCUUAACGUUUUCUGACUUUGGGUCCAUUUUCUUUUCAUUGCCUCCUUUUCCAGGCAGCUCUAUUCUUGCAGAGCCAUGGCAGGACAUAUUAAAAUUCCAGUAGAAAACACUAAAAGGAAAGUCUGUAGAAUCACUAGUGACUAAAUACUGGGAACCUAUUUUCUCAAUCUUCCUCCAUGUUGUGUUCUUUGUAUUCUCAAGAUGAUAAUAUAUUAUGUAUUUGAAUUCCUGAAAAAUGGAAAAUGUUUAAGAUAUAUGUAUAUAAAGCAUAUGCUGUAUUGGU